GGAUGUUCAUACAUGCCUGGUUCCAAACCCGAAGGUUUUUAAUCUUGCUCAACAAUAAUAUGUAAUUCAACAUAUAUAUAUACGGGUAAUUGACAAAGGUGUAUCAACAUGUGAAUAAAUGCCAUGAUUAUCCAAGUGGGGACACUUGUAUAACCAUUUAGAAAUCAACUUAACAGAAUAUAUAUCUGAGCUAACAUGUUGAUAAUCAAAGCGUACAUAAUCUGUACAGGAAUAGAAUAAUUCUGAAACUUCUUACUCAUGUCCAUUGCAUAAAGAAAAUGCAAAGGUAGGAUACUUGCUUGAUUCGCUGAUUAUAACUCUCAACGUAGGUUUUAUCUCUUUAUCACAACCUAUCAAUAAUCAGAUCAUUCAUUCGAUUAGAACAAUAUAUCAUAACACAUAGUACUGUCUAUUACAGUCAGCACAUAGUCUAAUCACGUCAUCACAUAAUCGCAGUGAUCAUACUUUUAGUUCAUAUUCUAUACUUGAAAUAUUUUUAUACAUUUUUCAAAUAUCUCAUCCAUGCUCUUACAGAAGUCUUUUCUUUCUAUUAUAGGGUCUGACAUUUGUCGGCGUACCGACAGCUUUAUCGGGUAAAUACUGAGUCUAAGACUCUUAUCCUAUACCUCAACAUCUGUAAAUAUCAAACAUUUUAUUUUUAAUCAUUUUCGAAUUUUCCAGAAAUUGAAAAAUUUAAAAUAAUUCAAAUCUGUCACUACCGGGCCUAUAGUGAUAUAACUGUUACUAUAGGUGUUCCUCAAAACUUCAUAACUUCAUAAUCGGUUCUCAAGUCAGCUAGUUUGGCCGGCUAUAACUUUCAAACAUCGGAAUCAUAAUUAAAUGAUUUAAACAUUAAACAAUUCCAUUAUCAUUAAUAAUUAAUUUAUAUUAAACUAUUAAUGAAACCAUUGCCAAAAUAUAAAAGUUAUUUAUAAUAACUCAAACUAUUUUUAAAACAUUUAUAUUACCCUUAAAUGAUUUUUAAAACAAUUAAAAUCAUUUUUAAAUAAUCACCAUUAAUAUAUAAAUAUUAAUGUACUAUUCAUCCAAAUAUUAAAAGUCAUUAAUUAUAACUUAAAAUAUUUUUAAAUCCUUAAUAUCCUCUUUAAAUGAUUUUUAAAUAAAUAAAACCAUUUUUAAACUAUUUAUUUAAUAAUAAUUAUUAAAUAAACUAAAUAUCAUUAAUAUUAUCUUAAUAUCAUUAAUAUUAAAUUAUUAAUGAAAUUAUCCUUUAAAUAUUAAAAGUUAUAUUUUAUAACUUAAAAUAUUUUUAAAUACCUUAAUUUCAUUUAAAAUGAUUUUUAUAAUAUUAAAAUCAUUUUUAAACUAAAUUAUUUAAUAUAAUCAUUAAAUAACUUUAAUAUCAUUAAUAUAUAAUUAAUUAAUGAAAUUCAUCACAAAAUAUUAAAAGUCAUGGGAAAUAACUUAAAAUAUUUUCUUAUACCAUAAUAUAAUUUUUCAUGAUUUUUCAUGAAUUAAAACUAUUUUUAAAUCAUUUAUUUAAUAUUAUAAUUAAAUAAAUAAAUACCUUUUAUAUUCCAAAAAUAUUAAAUAUUUAUGAAAUAUACUCAAAAUAAUUAAAAACUAUUUUUCAGACUUUAAAAUAAUUUUUCAUAAUUUAUUUGGUAUUUUUAAUAAUUAAAAUCUAAUUUUUCUAAUUUUUAAAUCAUUUUUCGGAAAAUCAGAAAUUAAAAUAAUUAAAACUGUCGCUAAAGGCCCCUAUAGUGACAGAAGUGUCGCUAUAGGUGUUCUUGAGCCUACCCAGAUCUUCAUAAGGCAGAACCGAGUGGCCUACUUUGACCGUGAAUAACUCUCUCAUCUUAACGAAUUUGGACAAUCUAUAAAUUGGGUCUUGUAGAGGAAAUACAAGACUACAAGAUCCAACAAUCAUAACCUCUAAACAAACAUCAGAUCUGGGAUAAAUCAGCCAUCAAAGUAGCUACCAAAGCUGUUCUUCACGAAGAACAGUUCGAGGUGCCUACUUUGGACCUCUAUAACUUGAUGAUCGUGUAACGUUUAUGUGAUCUAUCAAUUCCAGUGUGUAGACAACAUGUAGGACUACAACUAUAACACUUAACAUCAUCAUAAAAACAAUACAUCAAGCAUCUAAAGUAUGGUCAAACCUUGUAAGAAAAAUAAACACUUAGAAAAUUCUGGGCUGCCCAGAAUUUUCCGGUCAAUGCCGGUCAACCCACUUUGACCUUAAAUAACUCUUAAUCCGUAAUAUAUAUGGACCUGAUUCUUUUUGGAGGUUAAAUAACACAUAACAAGCUAUACAUAUCAACCUUUAGAACACAAAACACAUUACAGAUGACCGAGAUAUAAGGCCUGACAUUUGCCAAAAAAUAUUUUCUGGACACUUAGAAUAUUUUCUGGGUUUGAAAAACAGCCGGUCAAUGCCGGUCAACCCACUUUGACCGCUUAUAAAUCCCGAUCUACAAUAGAUAUGAACUUGAUUCCUUUUGAAGGUUAAAGACCACAUAACAAGAUACACCUAACUACUUUUAAACAACACAAACAGUAAAUAAUCACAGAGAUAUAAGUCUUGACAUUUGCCCAAAAAUCACAGAAUUCGGUUUUUCCAACUUGCUCAAAUCUUCAAAUUCGUGCACUUUGAUGUUAUGGGUUCAUGAUUUUACAACCCAGAACAUUAAUAGACUCUCUAUUACACUACUUUAAACAAUCAAUUGCAUCAAUUAACAUCGAAUCGAAGGAUUUCUAGAAUUUAGGAUUUCCUACCUUUUCAAGCUUGAUUUUUGAUUUCUGGCUUCUUGAUGCUUCUGAUUUGUUGUUUGUGAUGGUUGGGCUUUGUUUAGGGACUGAUAUGCUACAAUAAUUCGUAGGUUUUAGAGAGAGAAGCUUAAGGAUGAGAGUUGGAUGAAUUUUAGUGUACAAAAUAUAUUAUCUCUCUC
RNAcentral lists this long non-coding RNA (2912 nucleotides) under Panax ginseng (ginseng). RNAcentral's name for it is "long non-coding RNA (PGIN_LNC000088)". Lineage: Eukaryota; Viridiplantae; Streptophyta; Magnoliopsida; Apiales; Araliaceae. The record is from RNAcentral.